Molecule: ribosomal RNA, 301 nt
Filed under: uncultured bacterium
Lineage: Bacteria
Description: partial 16S ribosomal RNA
Rfam family: Bacterial small subunit ribosomal RNA
Source: RNAcentral
CAGUCGCCACGGUAAUACGGAGGGUGCAAGCGUUAAUCGGAUUUACUGGGCGUAAAGCGUGCGUAGGCGGCUUUUUAAGUCGGAUGUGAAAUCCCUGAGCUUAACUUAGGAAUUGCAUUCGAUACUGGGAAGCUAGAGUAUGGGAGAGGAUGGUAGAAUUCCAGGUGUAGCGGUGAAAUGCGUAGAGAUCUGGAGGAAUACCGAUGGCGAAGGCAGCCAUCUGGCCUAAUACUGACGCUGAGGUACGAAAGCAUGGGGAGCAAACAGGAUUAGAUACCCCGGUAGUCCCUGUCUCUUAUAC